RNAcentral lists this ribosomal RNA (1061 nucleotides) under uncultured Ornithinicoccus sp. Its description in RNAcentral is "bacterial SSU rRNA". It matches the Rfam family "Bacterial small subunit ribosomal RNA", at positions 335 to 1394 of the family's 1533-position model. The record is from RNAcentral. Lineage: Bacteria; Bacillati; Actinomycetota; Actinomycetes; Micrococcales; Intrasporangiaceae.
AUUCCUACGGGAGGCAGCAGUGGGGAAUAUUGCACAAUGGGCGCAAGCCUGAUGCAGCGACGCCGCGUGAGGGAUGAAGGCCUUCGGGUUGUAAACCUCUUUCAGCAGGGAAGAAGCAGCCGGGUUUUCUUGGUUGUGACGGUACCUGCGGAAGAAGCACCGGCUAACUACGUGCCAGCAGCCGCGGUAAUACGUAGGGUGCAAGCGUUGUCCGGAAUUAUUGGGCGUAAAGAGCUUGUAGGUGGUUUGUCGCGUCUGUUGUGAAAUUUCGGGGCUCAACCCCGAACUUGCAGUGGAUACGGGCAGACUAGAGUGUGGUAGGGGAGACUGGAAUUCCUGGUGUAGCGGUGAAAUGCGCAGAUAUCAGGAGGAACACCGAUGGCGAAGGCAGGUCUCUGGGCCAUUACUGACACUGAGAAGCGAAAGCAUGGGGAGCGAACAGGAUUAGAUACCCUGGUAGUCCAUGCCGUAAACGGUGGGAACUAGGUGUGGGUCUCAUUCCACGAGAUCCGUGCCGCAGCUAACGCAUUAAGUUCCCCGCCUGGGGAGUACGGCCGCAAGGCUAAAACUCAAAGGAAUUGACGGGGGCCCGCACAAGCGGCGGAGCAUGCGGAUUAAUUCGAUGCAACGCGAAGAACCUUACCAAGGCUUGACAUGUGCCGGUAAAGUGCAGAGAUGUGCUCCCCGCAAGGUCGGUACACAGGCGGUGCAUGGUUGUCGUCAGCUCGUGUCGUGAGAUGUUGGGUUAAGUCCCGCAACGAGCGCAACCCUCCUUCUAUGUUGCCAGCGGGUUAUGCCGGGGACUCAUAGGAGACUGCCGGGGUCAACUCGGAGGAAGGUGGGGAUGACGUCAAAUCAUCAUGCCCCUUAUGUCUUGGGCUUCACGCAUGCUACAAUGGCCAGUACAAAGGGCUGCGAUACCGUAAGGUGGAGCGAAUCCCAAAAAACUGGUCUCAGUUCGGAUCGGGGUCUGCAACUCGACCCCAUGAAGUCGGAGUCGCUAGUAAUCGCAGAUCAGCAACGCUGCGGUGAAUACGUUCCCGGGCCUUGUACACACCGCC